RNAcentral lists this small RNA (125 nucleotides) under Marmota monax (woodchuck). The record is from RNAcentral. Lineage: Eukaryota; Metazoa; Chordata; Mammalia; Rodentia; Sciuridae.
GCCGGGUGCAGUGGCGCACGCCCGUCAUCCCAUGAGCUAGGGAGGCUGAGGCAGGGGGAUCACGAGUUCAAAGCCAGCCUCGGCAAAAGGGAGGCCCUAAGCAGCUCAGUGAGACACUGUCUCUA